RNAcentral lists this ribosomal RNA (485 nucleotides) under uncultured bacterium. Its description in RNAcentral is "partial 16S ribosomal RNA". It matches the Rfam family "Bacterial small subunit ribosomal RNA", at positions 28 to 523 of the family's 1533-position model. The record is from RNAcentral.
AAUGAACGUUGGCGGCGUGGAUUAGGCAUGCAAGUCGAGCGCGAACCGUAGCAAUACGGGGAGAGCGGCGCAAGGGAGCGGAACACGUGGAUACGUACCCUCGGGUUCAGGAUAGCCAUUGGAAACAAUGGGUAAUACUGAAUAACAUCUCCGGAGCAAAGGUUGGUAUCCGCUCGUGGAGCGGUCCGCGUGUGCCUAUUAGCCGGUUGGUGAGGUAAUGGCUCACCAAGGCAAAGGUGGGUAUGGGGUGUGAGAGCAUGUCCCCACCCACUGGGACUGGGACACUGCCCAGACACUUACGGGUGGCUGCAGUCGAGAAUCUUCGGCAAUGGGGGAAACCCUGACCGAGCGACGCCGCGUGCGGGAUGAAGGCCUUCGGGUUGUAAACCGCUGUCAGAGGGGAGGAAAUGCCGGUGGGUUCUCCCAUCGGUUUGACCUAGCCUCAGAGGAAGGACGGGCUAAGUUCGUGCCAGCCGCCGCCGUAA